This 60-nucleotide microRNA precursor is filed under the name Parasteatoda tepidariorum (common house spider). RNAcentral's name for it is "microRNA pte-mir-29a precursor". Its record names the gene pte-mir-29a. Lineage: Eukaryota; Metazoa; Arthropoda; Arachnida; Araneae; Theridiidae. The record is from miRBase by way of RNAcentral.
ACCGAGUUCGGAUGGUGGAUAGAUGCUAUUAGAAAGUCUAGCACCAUUUGAAUUCAGUUC